This 427-nucleotide ribosomal RNA is filed under the name uncultured bacterium. RNAcentral's name for it is "partial 16S ribosomal RNA". It matches the Rfam family "Bacterial small subunit ribosomal RNA", at positions 355 to 774 of the family's 1533-position model. The record is from RNAcentral.
UGGGGAAUAUUGCACAAUGGGCGCAAGCCUGAUGCAGCCAUGCCGCGUGUACGAAGAAGGCCUUCGGGUUGUAAAGUACUUUCAGCGAGGAGGAAGGCGUUGUGGUUAAUAACCGCAACGAUUGACGUUACUCGCAGAAGAAGCACCGGCUAACUCCGUGCCAGCAGCCGCGGUAAUACGGAGGGUGCAAGCGUUAAUCGGAAUUACUGGGCGUAAAGCGCACGCAGGCGGUCUGUCAAGUCGGAUGUGAAAUCCCCGGGCUCAACCUGGGAACUGCAUCCGAAACUGGCAGGCUAGAGUCUUGUAGAGGGGGGUAGAAUUCCAGGUGUAGCGGUGAAAUGCGUAGAGAUCUGGAGGAAUACCGGUGGCGAAGGCGGCCCCCUGGACAAAGACUGACGCUCAGGUGCGAAAGCGUGGGGAGCAAACA